UCUACUUAUAUAACAAUUGCUGCAAUUUUUAAAAUAUAUUUUUUACUUCAUGCUUAGCACAUAAACUGAAAUAGUUGCAGGAAAUAAGUUCAGCUACAAGUGUCACAUCUGUACCAGCACUCAGAACUCCUUUCUUCUGUUCUGAUCUACAGCUGCAGGAAAGAGACACCUGGUAACCAUUCCAUGCCUGUGUCAGAGGAGAGCACUGGUGGGAAGGAAGGUGUACCUUUGCACACCGUGGACACAUUGGAAUCUGGACAGAUUUUUUCCUCUAGAUGAAGCAUUUUGACGUCCUUAUCCUGCUGCUAAAGAAGCCUAGGAGAAGCUGAGGAACAGUCCAGAAGGGUUUCUUGAAAUCUUACUUUUAACUAUUAUUUUUGGUGCAGCAACACUCAAAAUUUCCUUUCAAGGCCCUUUCUCCCACUAUAAUAAGAGAUACAUCUGUUUCAAAGCAAACCCAUCUGUUUGCAGACAUCUGGUAACCAUUCUAUGCCUGUGUCAGAGGAGAGCACUGGUGGGAAGGAAGGUGUACCCUUGCACACGUGGACACAUUUGAAUCUGGACAGAUUUUUUCCUCUAGGUGAGGGGAUACAUCUCUCAUGCAAUAAGAUCAUGAACUGCCUGUCCUGCUUCCUUUUAGCCCACUCUGUGCUCCUGCUAAGUUCUCAUAUUCCCUUGAGAAAAACACAGCAAGAACAAGACAUUUUGUGAAAAAUGUCCAGUAAGAAAUUUUUCUGGUUAGGUCUAUUCUCAUUCUCCAAGAAAUGCCAGAUACUCUAUUUUAUAGAGUUUCUCGUUCCAUAGCCCUUGCACAUCACAGACAUGUUGAUACUUGUUGCCUCAUACACCAGUGUAAAUGAAUUCUGGUUAUAUAAUUGCAGUUCUUAUUUUCCUGUUCCAGGUAAGCACCACGGGCCGAGUAGCAUUCUAUAGUCAUUUCUUGAAGUUAAAUAAAGAGCAAUUCAUGGUGCCUGGAAAUCUAGAAAUCUAGAAUGUUCUGUGGCAUCUUCUGCUCUUGUUGUCUAAGUUAACUUUAUCUGCUUUUCACUGAAAGUUGAAAUAUUUGUGCUAGAAUUGUAAUUAAUUAGUUGGAAAAGUUAUGAAAUUGUGUUUUAACUUUCUAUCUCUUAAAGCAAAGAGAAAGAAUAAUUUUGCUUGGAAUGAUUAAUCUUUAAUGACUUAAGUAGAUUUUGGAAACUUUCAGAAUAGACAAAGUUCAAAUCUUGACAAGUGCUUGUAUUUCAAUCUUUAAAAUAAUACACUCCCAUAGGGGAGAUAUCUGCUCAACUGCAUCAUUUCCAGAAUGCAGAAUGCUUAGAGUUCUUAGGUUGAAAAUGUGUGGUAAAUGCGCCUAUGUAUAAGAUAUGAAUCAGGAGAUGAUCCUGAAUUUUGUGGGAGACUGCCUGAAGUUGAAGGUUAAUGCAAAGUGGGAACAAGCAGCUAAUUGUGUUUCUGAGCUUUUUUAAUUGUUAAAACUUUGAAUAAAACAUAACACAGAGACCUAAACCACACAGCUGAGCAAUCCUUUCAGUUCUGUUGGGGCAAAAAGAUGAUAUCACUAAAAAUAAAUAUGAAUAAAUACAGCAUAUCAUAAAUUGUUUUAGUUAAAUAUCUCAUGUAAGAGUUUUAAAGUUCAGUGAAAACUUAACUGAGAAAUUCUUUUUUAAAAGUUGAAAAUAUAACUCCUGAAUCCUGUAGCAUUAGAGGAAAUGCUGGGGAAAAAUCUGUGAAUAUAGAGUUCAGAUCACAACAGGGCCUGUCACUGAUGCUGUUUCAGGGGCUUGGCUGGGUGCUGGGAAUGCAACAUCUUAGGGACAUUGAUUGAAUCACAGAAUGGUUUGGACUGGAAUGGACCUUAAAGCCCAUCCAGUGCCACCCCUGCCAUGGGCAGGGACACUUUCCACUGUCCCAGGCAGCUGCAAGCCCCAAUGUCCAACCCGGCCUUGGGCACUGCCAGGGAUCCAGGGGCAGCCACAGCUGCUCUGGGCACUCUGUGCCAGGGCCUGCCUACAUUCCCAGGGAACAAUCCCAGCUCUCCCAGCAGAGAUAGUCUGGAAUAUAGAACACCAUUGUCAGUGUAGUCCUGCAGUGAUAACUCUAAUCAACCUACCAAAAUACUACUACAGAAACGUAUUAUUAAUAACCAAGAAACUUCCAGUUAUGAAGUCAGGAAUGGCAGAUUUGAUAUAAGGUGAUGAGAUAAUGCACGACUACUAAAAAAACAAAUGUAAACA
Molecule: long non-coding RNA, 2234 nt
Organism: Passer domesticus (house sparrow)
Lineage: Eukaryota; Metazoa; Chordata; Aves; Passeriformes; Passeridae
Exons: 3
Source: RefSeq, a predicted model, not a curated record